RNAcentral lists this ribosomal RNA (973 nucleotides) under Methanospirillum sp. Its description in RNAcentral is "bacterial SSU rRNA". It matches the Rfam family "Archaeal small subunit ribosomal RNA", at positions 39 to 1021 of the family's 1478-position model. Lineage: Archaea; Methanobacteriati; Methanobacteriota; Methanomicrobia; Methanomicrobiales; Methanospirillaceae. The record is from RNAcentral.
UUCGAUUAAGCCAUGCGAGUCGAGAGGUGUAAGACCUCGGCAUACUGCUCAGUAACACGUGGACAACCUACCCUGAAGAGGGGGAUAACCCCGGGAAACUGGGGAUAAUACCCCAUAGACUAUGGAUGCUGGAAUGCUUUGUAGUUGAAAGGUCCGCCGCUUCAGGAUGGGUCUGCGGCCGAUUAGGUUGUUGUUGGGGUAACGGCCCAACAAGCCUGUAAUCGGUACGGGUUGUGGGAGCAAGAGCCCGGAGAUGGAUUCUGAGACACGAAUCCAGGCCCUACGGGGGCACGAGGCCGGAAAACUUUACAAUGCGAGCAAUCGUGAUAAGGGAACUCCGAGUGCCUGUAAAAUCAGGCUGUCCGCCAGUGUAAAUAACUGGUGAAGAAAGGGCCGGGCAAGACCGGUGCCAGCCGCCGCGGUAAUACCGGCGGCUCGAGUGGUGGCCACUAUUACUGGGCUUAAAGCGUUCGUAGCUGGUCUGUUAAGUCUCUGGGGAAAUCUUCCGGCUUAACCGGAAGGCGUCUCAGGGAUACUGGCAGACUAGGGACCGGAAGAGGUGAGAGGUACUCCAGGGGUAGGAGUGAAAUCCUGUAAUCCUUGGGGGACCACCUGUGGCGAAGGCGUCUCACCAGAACGGCUCCGACAGUGAGGAACGAAAGCUGGGGGAGCAAACCGGAUUAGAUACCCGGGUAGUCCCAGCUGUAAACGAUGCGCGUUAGGUGUAUCGGUGACCACGAGUCACCGAGGUGCCGAAGAGAAAUCGUGAAACGCGCCGCCUGGGAAGUACGGUCGCAAGGCUGAAACUUAAAGGAAUUGGCGGGGGAGCACCACAACGGGUGGAGCCUGCGGUUUAAUCGGACUCAACGCCGGGAAACUCACCGGACAAGACAGCUGAAUGAUAGUCGGGCUGAAGACUCUACUUGACUAGCUGAGAGGAGGUGCAUGGCCGUCGUCAGUUCGUACUGUGAAG